This 439-nucleotide ribosomal RNA is filed under the name uncultured Actinomycetes bacterium. Its description in RNAcentral is "bacterial SSU rRNA". It matches the Rfam family "Bacterial small subunit ribosomal RNA", at positions 28 to 478 of the family's 1533-position model. The record is from RNAcentral. Lineage: Bacteria; Bacillati; Actinomycetota; Actinomycetes.
GACGAACGCUGGCGGCGUGCUUAACACAUGCAAGUCGAACGGGAUCCAAGUAGUAGCAAUACUACGGAAGAUCUAGUGGCGAACGGGUGAGUAACACGUGAGGAACCUACCCCGGACUCAGGGAUAACAGACGGAAACAUCUGCUAAUACCUGAUGCCGUCGGAGCAUCACAUGGUGCACUGACGAAAGAAUCUCGGUUCGGGAGGGCCUCGCGGCCUAUCAGCUUGUUGGUGGGGUAACGGCCUACCAAGGCGUCGACGGGUAGCUGGUCUGAGAGGAUGAUCAGCCACACUGGGACUGAGACACGGCCCAGACUCCUACGGGAGGCAGCAGUGGGGAAUCUUGCGCAAUGGGCGAAAGCCUGACGCAGCAACGCCGCGUGCGGGAUGAAGGCCCUAGGGUUGUAAACCGCUUUCAGUAGGAACGAAAAUGACGGUAC